RNAcentral lists this ribosomal RNA (219 nucleotides) under Bacillus cereus group sp. RNAcentral describes it as "partial 16S ribosomal RNA". It matches the Rfam family "Bacterial small subunit ribosomal RNA", at positions 56 to 261 of the family's 1533-position model. Lineage: Bacteria; Bacillati; Bacillota; Bacilli; Caryophanales; Bacillaceae. The record is from RNAcentral.
CGUGCUGGCUCCAGCGGGGGCUUAACAGCUUGCUCUUAGGAACUUACCGGCGGACGGGUGAGUAACACGUGGGUAACGUGCCCAUACGACUGGGCUAACUCCGGGAAAUCGGGGCUAAUACCGGAUAACAUUUUGAAGUGCAUGGUUCGAAAUUGAAAGGCGGAUUCGGCUGUCGCUUAUGGAUGGACCCUCCUCCCAUUAGCUAUGUGGUGAUGUAAC